This 207-nucleotide ribosomal RNA is filed under the name uncultured bacterium. Its description in RNAcentral is "partial 16S ribosomal RNA". It matches the Rfam family "Bacterial small subunit ribosomal RNA", at positions 568 to 774 of the family's 1533-position model. The record is from RNAcentral.
CACGUAGGCGGCUUGGUAAGUCAGAUGUGAAAGCCCGGGGCUUAACCCCGGAAGUGCAUUUGAUACUGUCAAGCUUGAGUAUGGGAGAGGGAAGUGGAAUUCCUGGUGUAGAGGUGAAAUUCGUAGAUAUCAGGAGGAACACCGGUGGCGAAGGCGACUUCCUGGACCAAUACUGACGCUGAGGUGCGAAGGCGUGGGUAGCAAACA